Molecule: transfer RNA, 85 nt
Filed under: Arthrobacter sp. HMWF013
Lineage: Bacteria; Bacillati; Actinomycetota; Actinomycetes; Micrococcales; Micrococcaceae
Description: tRNA-Leu
Rfam family: tRNA
About the family: Transfer RNA (tRNA) molecules are approximately 80 nucleotides in length. Their secondary structure includes four short double-helical elements and three loops (D, anti-codon, and T loops).
Source: RNAcentral
GCGCGAGUGGUGGAAUUGGCAGACACGCAGGAUUUAGGUUCCUGUGCCUUCGGGCGUGGGGGUUCAAGUCCCCCCUUGCGCACAA